GUUCAGUAGACAUCAAGUUGCAAACAGCAAGUGCAUUUUCGCCUCCGUACUUCGUUUCAAGCUGAAAUUAUCAUAGCAAGAAUGAAGCUCUACAUGUGCCUGGUUCUCUUGAUGUUCGUUGGAUGUACCUGGGGUUUCGCACUGAGGGACGACUUUGAUCCUGAGGAGAAAGAGAGAACAGUGUCAGCUCGUGAGAUUGUUGAGCGGACGCACUGGUGCUUGGUGGACGAAGAUUGCCCCUGGGAACGGUACCACUGUGAUAUUGAAGGGGGUUGGCCGUUUGGCAUGUGCAAUCCUGGCCCUCCGCAUGAAUGAAUUGAACAAUGAUUGACAGUGUUUAUCCAACAGCAAGGCUUCAUCUUUAAUAAAUUUAAAGGGUUAGAUUUGGCUUUUUUUAUUUCAAUUUCUUUUCCUGAUAAGACUUCUUUUUUAACAAUACUGGUAUCGUAUAGCAGCCAGUUAUUACAUUGAUGCCUUGACAGUGCUGAUCUUGAAAGCUUAUCAUGAUUGCAUGGGUGUCGCCAGUAUUUUUUUCUUGGGGGGUAAAAGCACACUUUCUCCCUUAAAUCCUUGUAGUUUCUCUGGCAUAUUCUCAAUUUAUCAUUUUUUCGAGGGUGUGUGGGGGACACUUACCAACCCCACCCCUAUUGACACCCCUGCAUACAUGUUGACGUUACAUACUUAGUAUGGACAUUCCUUUCUUUUCGUGCAGCUAAGACAAAACUUGUUAAAAAAACCUCAUUUUAAUCAUACUGUUAAAACUCUUUCAAACCCAAUUUGUUUUCUAUGAUUCCGUUUAUAGUUUUUCUCUUCAUUUUGCCACGGAUAAACCUAGCCUAAAAAUGCCUCUAAACCUGUUUUCCAGAGA
Long non-coding RNA from Patiria miniata (bat star), 868 nucleotides. RefSeq lists it as uncharacterized. The record is from RefSeq and is a predicted model, not a curated record. The transcript is spliced from 5 exons. Lineage: Eukaryota; Metazoa; Echinodermata; Asteroidea; Valvatida; Asterinidae.